GGCAGCUGGUGACACUGGUGAGAGCUCAUCUCCAGGCUUCUAGGAAGAACCUGGACACCAGCCGUGUGGGCUAGCCAAGAGUCUUCAGUUCAGUUCGACAACUUUUAUCUCCUGCACUUUGAAGAAACGGAAGACUUCUGCAAGGCCUGUUUUCCACUGUGAAGCUGAGUCUCUGCUUUAGAGCCCCUCCCCCCUUUUUUUUCUUUUUUUCUUUUUUUUUUCAGCAAGGUCCACUAUUUUCCUGACCUUGGGCUAGACUUCCUGAGGAGAGUGUGGGAGCCAUACAUACUCACUCUGAGAACACAGGGUCACCAGGAAGUAUCGAAGCUCCAAUGUAGGUGCAAUGCCACCCCAGACCUUGUCAUGUCAUGCUUGAAGAGGAGAGCACGGAACACUCGUUACCCCACAAGCGAGGCCAAGCUCCUAGCUUCCUGGUCUUGGCAGUGGUGUGACCCUGCCAUGUCUGUCACAUGUCUAGAAGGUUUCUGGAGGACAGAACCAAGAGAGUGAGGCUCAGGCUAUACCCUGGAGACAGUGCACAGGGGCUCCUGUCCCCAGGGCAGUGGGAGAGCUGGCGAGGAGGCUUCCCCCAUCCCCUUCACUGUGGCAAACGUUUGCUAGGCCAGUUAUGGCAAACCAAUGAUGCGGUGUUUCCUCAUGUUCCCCUCCCAUCUCCCCUACUCGGGCUCUCCAGGGGGAUUUUGUGGCUGUGGCUUUUCUUCCUUUCUCAUUUGGGUCUGAGGAUGGUAGUCUGGAGAGCCCUGGCGUUGACCAAGGGAACCUGUAGUCUCUGAGCAUGUACAGGCCUCCCAUACAAGAGGGUGGUGCUUUAAGGUUCCACUCCCAUAUGGGAAGUUGUCUAGCCUUGGGAGUUGGCAUUGGCAUCACCACCCAUCAAGGUCCUACCCCAUCCUUGGGCACCUUGACUCUUUGAACCAAAGUUCCUUAAAGGGGCAGAGCCCAACCUUGUCCUUAGGAGCCAGAAUUUGCAGGCCCGCUGGAAGGAGGGCUCCUCCCACAAUCUAGGUGCCAGAAGGCUCACCCAGGACCGUUCUCCCACCCAGCCAGGCUUCCCAAACAGGGCUCGAGCGUGUGACCUGACUUGGGCUGGGCCUGGCCAACCAUGAAAGAGCAAGAGCCAUGUGGCAGGGCCUUCCAGAUCCCAGGCAUCAGGAAACCAUUUUGUAUAACAACCCGAAGCAGUGAUAUUUUUUAAGAUGCAUGAAUUAUUUUCAGUUGUCUUCUGAUCCUAUCUUUGUUUUCUUCUUUUCCCCACAACUUCACGUUGGUGAUCCGUUCACAUCAGGUAAAUCUUGAGAACGCCUUGGUGCCCCAUUCCUCCUGCCCCCCUACUCAGUGACCACGUGUGUGAGCCUCCAUCCUGUCUCAGUAGUAAAGACGUUCUAGGCAAUACCAUAGACACAUCUGUGUCUCGCUUCGAGUGCAAGAAACUCAAGUCAUCUUAAAAAAAAAUUUAAAAACACAAAA
Molecule: long non-coding RNA, 1488 nt
Filed under: Rattus norvegicus (Norway rat)
Lineage: Eukaryota; Metazoa; Chordata; Mammalia; Rodentia; Muridae
Description: long non-coding RNA NONRATT022325
Source: RNAcentral